RNAcentral lists this ribosomal RNA (421 nucleotides) under uncultured bacterium. RNAcentral's name for it is "bacterial SSU rRNA". It matches the Rfam family "Bacterial small subunit ribosomal RNA", at positions 357 to 775 of the family's 1533-position model. The record is from RNAcentral.
AGGAAUAUUGGUCAAUGGCCGGAAGGCUGAACCAGCCAUGCCGCGUGAAGGUCAGUGCCCUAUGGGCGUUAAACUUCUUUUGUGCGGGAGCAAUAAGGUCCACGUGUGGGCCGACGAGAGUACCGUACGAAUAAGCAUCGGCUAACUCCGUGCCAGCAGCCGCGGUAAUACGGGGGAUGCAAGCGUUAUCCGGAUUUAUUGGGUUUAAAGGGUGCGUAGGCUGUGAGGUAAGUCAGCGGUGAAAUGCCCCCGCUCAACGGGGUGAAGUGCCAUUGAUACUGCCUUGCUGGAAUGCGGAUGCCGUGGGAGGAAUGUGUGGUGUAGCGGUGAAAUGCAUAGAGAUCACACAGAACACCGAUUGCGAAGGCAGCUUACAAAUCUAUAUCGGACGCUGAGGCACGAAAGCGUGGGGAGCAAACAG